RNA transcript from Drosophila kikkawai, 6473 nucleotides. It is a transcript of the gene named histone-lysine N-methyltransferase G9a, with no coding region annotated. NCBI's taxonomy places the organism in Eukaryota, Metazoa, Arthropoda, Insecta, Diptera, Drosophilidae. The record is from RefSeq and is a predicted model, not a curated record.
UUGUUCGUAAAAAACAUUUAUCGCUUCUUGGAGAAGAACCACUAAACGAGGUCCAAGUGCUUCGAAUUAUUAAUAACCUAAGCCUUAACUUGGACCCUAAUUUAUUUAGUGAAUUUGCUAAAAACGCGUCGCGUGUUCUACUCAAAACACUCGGUGAAAAAACAAAAAAAGCAAAAGAAACAAAGUGUGAAGACGGAAAAAGAAGAAAAAAGUUAACUGUGGCCACCAAAGCGCAGUCGACGUCGACUUCGCGCUGCUGGCGUUGUUUAUUUGUUGUUGGUUUUUUUUACGUGAGCGCAAAGCGAGUAUAAAAAAGGCAGGGCGAGAAGUGUGGACGGGGGAAAUGGGGGGGCGGGGCUAGCUCCAUUUCGUUUUCAUUUUCAUUCCCGAGCCACAACGUGCACACGAAAAUGUUCGCAAUAAACGGGAAAAUCUUAAGGCAAUAAUGAUGGCCAAAUAGAUAAUAACGGAGAAAAGAAAAGGAACGAACAAAUUUAAUAAUUCGACCAGCCACGAAUCCGCUGCUGCUGAGCGCUGCCGCCAGCGACCGAGGCAGAGAGGCAGCAAUCUUAUCGCCUAUAUGUUCAUGUUCCAGAGCCAAUUGAUGGCCGCUGUGCUUCUUCGGACCGAAAAAAAACGCUAAAAAACUGACUGAUGGGAUAUUGAUUCUUCUUCAGAAUUCAGAAAUCAAAAACAAAGAAGGACCGCAAGAAAAGCACGGUGAAAACGGUAUAUGAAAACAAGUGUGUGCGUGCGCGCGAGUUCGUCUGUGUGUGUGUGUGUGUGAAACACAGUUAUUGUUGUUGUGAAACGCAGUGAAAAAGUUGAGGCGAAAAGAUGACGGACUAUGUGGAGCUGAUGAACAGCAUGUCCAGCACAUUCAAUAGCGACUGUGCCACGAGCACGGCGGAGGGCGGCACCCUCUUGAACCUGGACCUGGCCGAGGACAAAACCCUCAAGUGGCGCAAUCUGGCCAACAAUCAGUUCGCCUGCAAGGACAAAAAGCAUAAGGAGGAGGAGCAGCGGGAUAAGGAGCAGCAGCUGGAACGGGCGCAGGAGAAACCCGAGGAAAUUGAGGAUAAUAUCAAGGAGCUGCUCGCCGAUGUUGUGGAUGCCGCUGCCGUAAAGCUGGAGGAGGAAGCAGCAGCAGCAGCAGCGGCGGCGGCAGAGGCAGAGUCAUCAGCUACACCGACGCAAGCAGCGCUCCAAGGCCAGAGUGUAGAGGGCGCAGAGGAAAAGGAGGCAACAUUGGCGGAGGAGCAGCAGCAAAGAGAGCGGGCCGUUGGAGACAGACAGGAGGAAGAGAGUGCAAAAGAGAGCGAUUACAAGCAGGCAAAGGAGCAAGAGGAGGACGAGGUGGAGCCACAGAAUACCACUAGCAUAACAGUAAAGGUGGAAAGCGAACUGGCAGAGAAAAGUGCAAAUGCAGCGACGUCGGCAGAGGACAGCAGCGGCAUCAAGACUGAGCAGCCCAAAGAGGCUGCAACACUGGGACAAGAAGAUGAUGAACAAGAUGAGGCAGCAAAAGCUAAAGCCAAAGCAAGCGCAGCUUCGAAAUCGCCAUCAAAAUCAGCAUCUCCACUUGUUGUCAAUUCUGCCAGCGUCGACGUCGUCGUCCCGGCUGACGCAACAGAUUCGAAUGUGGCCACCACCAGCAGCAGCAAUAACAAUAAUAGCAGUAACAUUGCCAUCACCAGCAGCAGCAGCGAGCCAGCAGCGACGCUGUCAGAGGCAGCAGCAGCAGCAGCAACAGCAGCUGAUAAAAACGAACAAGUUUCGCCUGGCGGAACGCGUCGUUCGCGCCGCACACCGCGACCCACAGACACACCUACUCCCACGUCCACGCCAACGCCAACUCCCACUCCGCGCGCCGAUGAACCAGCAGCACCCGUGGAUGCCACCGAACCCCUUGAGGAGGAGAUGCAAAUAGACGUGAGUGAGGAGGUGUCAGGUAUCGCUGAUGGUGCUGCCGUGGAGCUGGAGGUCAAGAAGGAGCCGGAGAAACCUUCACCUACCUCCCUGGAGGAAGUGCCAGCACCUGCGCCCAAGCGUGGACGAGGACGUGCCAAAAAGAUAAGGCCAGAGGGCGGCGAUAUUGAUGCCAUGGUCGAAGCGCCGCACCAGCAGCAGCAGCAGCAGGUCGUCGAGGAGGCGACCGUGGUGGAACGAAAGCCAGGACGAAAGCGGAAGCUGCCUGAGGAGCCUCUAGAUCAGCAGCUAGCUUCCGACCUGGUAAUGGUGGUAAAAACAGAGCACGAAGAACUGACAGAUCUGGGAAAUGCUCCCAGUGGCGACAGCAAAAGAAUGCGGCGCAGUGUACGCUUGGGGAAUCGCCAUACCGCCGAUGGGGCUACGUGGGAGGAGGUGAAGACAGAGAUAACGCCGCCUCCCGAGAGAGAUCUACCGCUGACGGAGAUCACCACGGUUUUGGUGCCGCCAGCCACUGUUCCGGACGAGAAGACGCCGCCCAAGAAAAGGGGACGCAAGGCCAAGAUUCAGCCAGGUGCGAAACUGGAGCCAGGAACUUCCACCUCAUCCUCCACGCUGCACACUCUGACCAAUGGGAGCAACAACAACAAGAACAAGGUUGGUCCUGGAGGAGCAGAAGUGCAACUGCCCAAGCGCUCCAAGAGGAGAAUCAAGCCCACGCCCAAGAUCCUGGAGAACGAUGAGCUGCGCUGCGAGUUCGAAACGAAGCACAUUGAGCGGAUGACGCACUGGGAAACCGCUGCAGCGGCAGCGGAUGGCGACUUUGAAACGUCACCGACCGGCGGCAAUGGCUCUAACUCGUCGACAUCCCGCCAGAAGAGCGACAAAUCGGAUGGCAGCAACUUUGAGGGCCUGCCAGGACAUCCAGCUGGUACGAGUGCCAUCAAGAAGCGACUCUUCUCCAAGUCCCAGCGCGACAUUGAGAACUAUGGUGCUGCCCAGCUGGCCAAGAGCAAGGUAAGGCCAUGCCCGGAUGUGGAGCAGUUCCUUAGCGACAUCAAGGCGUGCCGCUUCAAUGCGAAUCGUUCGCCCGAGGAGCGAAAGCUGAACAAGAAGCAGCAGCGGAAGCUGGCCAAGCAGAAGGAGAAACACCUAAAGCAUCUGGGCCUCCAGAGGAAUCACAGUGAGGAGGCCUCGGACAACGAUAGCUCCAAUACGGACAAUGAGUUUGUGCCCACCACCCGGGUGCAGGUGGGCAAGCCCAGUGUGACGCUGAGAGUGCGCAACACGGUCACCAAGGAAGGGCCCACGACAUCGUCGGCCGCUGCUGCUGCAGCUACUCUUAAAUCUCUCAAAGCAGCAGCCUCAAAUGUGGCUGUGCAGCCCCCCAAACUAACGCGCCGGGUGGGUGGUGUCCGGGGAGGAGUAGCUGCAGCAGCAGGAGCAGCAGCAGGUGGCGCCAUAUCCACCCUCGAUGCAGCACAGCUUCAUUCGCUGAACAGCUCCAUCCUGGCGGAUGCCAUGGAUGUGGAUGCUGCUGCCACGCCCAGCACCUCGAAGCUGGCCAAGUUCCUGUGCCUGUGCCAGAAGAGUUCGCAGUACUAUGCCCGGAAUGCCCCCGACUCGUCCUACUGCUGUGCCAUCGAUCACAUUGACGAGCAGAAGAUUGGCUGCUGCAAUGAGCUCUCCGCGGAGGUGCACAAUCUCCUGCGGCCCAGCCAGCGGGUGAGCUACAUGAUCCUCUGCGACGAGCACAAGAAGCGGCUGCACUCGCACAAUUGCUGUGCAGGAUGUGGCAUCUUUUGCACCCAGGGAAAAUUUGUGCUGUGCAAGCAGCAGCACUUUUUUCAUCCGGACUGCGCCCAGCGGUUUAUCCUGAACACUCCCUAUGACGAGGGUCGCAGCGGCGGCGGUGCCGAGCAGCAGCCGGGGGGCCCCAAGUUCAGCAGUCCCAUGCUGGUGCUAAAGUGCCCCCAUUGCGGGGUGGACACACCCGAACGCACCUCCACCGUGACCAUGAAGUGCCAGACGCUGCCCGUCUUUUUGCCCACUCAAAAGUACAAGAUCAAACCCGCCAAGCUGACCACCGCCUCGCAUUUGGCCCAGUUUGGUUCCGCCGGCAAAACCAGUCCAGGUGCCAAGGCCAAGGGCAAGGCCUCCUCCUCAUCCUCCUCCCCCGCCUCUGUAGUGGCGGCUACCAAAACAAAUGGAACACGGGGAGGAGGUGGCAAGGCUUGUACCAACUCCUCUGGCCAGGCUCUCAAUACGAUCAACUUUGCCCAGCUGAUACCCGACUCUGUGAUGAAUGUGGUGCUCCGGGGGCAUGUGGUUUCGGCCAGUGGACGCGUAACCACAGAGUUUACCUCACGGGACAUGUACUAUGCCGUGCAGAACGAUGAUCUAGAGCGAGUGGCUGAGAUUUUGGCUGCCGACUUCAAUGUGCUGACCCCCAUUCGGGAGUACCUGAAUGGCACUUGCCUGCAUCUAGUGGCCCACUCGGGCACCCUCCAGAUGGCCUACCUGCUGCUCUGCAAAGGAGCCAGCUCCCAGGAUUUUGUCAACAUUGUGGACAGCGAGCUGAGGACGGCAUUGAUGUGUGCGGUGAUGAACGAGAAGUGCGAUAUGCUGAAUCUUUUCCUGCAAUGCGGUGCCGAUGUGGCCAUUAAGGGACCCGAUGGCAAGACCUGCCUGCAUAUAGCCGCCAAGCUGGGCAAUGUGGAGGCCACGCAGCUGAUUGUGGAGAGCUAUCGGGCCUCGCGGAAUAUCACCAGCUUUUUGAGCUUCAUUGAUGCACAGGACGAGGGCGGAUGGACGGCCAUGGUGUGGGCAGCAGAGCUGGGACACACGGACAUUGUUAGCUUCCUCCUCAACCAGGAUGCCGAUCCAAACAUCUGCGACAAUGACAACAACACGGUGCUCCACUGGUCCACGCUGCACAACGAUGGCCUGGACACAAUCACAGUGCUGCUGCAGGCGGGCGCCGAUUGCAAUGUCCAGAAUGUGGAGGGUGACACGCCGCUCCACAUUGCCUGCCGCCAUGAGGUGACACGAAUGUGCAUAGCCCUGAUUGCCAACGGGGCCGAUUUGAUGAUCAAGAACAAGGCCGAGCAGCUGCCCUUUGACUGCAUACCCAACGAGGAGUCCGAAUGCGGACGCACCGUGGGCUUUAACAUGCAGAUGCGUAGCUUUCGCCCGCUGGGCCUGCGCACCCUGGUCGUGUGUGCAGAUGCCUCCAAUGGACGCGAGGCGCGUCCCAUUCAGGCGGUGCGCAACGAGCUGGCCAUGUCCGAGAGCGAGGAUGAGGCGGAUUCGCUGCUGUGGCCGGACUUUCGCUAUGUCACCCAGUGCAUCAUUCAGCAGAAUUCGGUGCAAAUCGAUCGCAGGGUCUCCCAGAUGCGCAUCUGCUCCUGUCCGGACAGCUGCAGCAGCGAUCGCUGUCAGUGCAAUGGAGCCUCUUCGCAGAAUUGGUACACUGCCGAAAGCAGGCUAACGGCAGACUUUAACUAUGAGGAUCCGGCGGUGAUUUUCGAGUGCAACGAUGUCUGUGGUUGCAAUCAGCUUUCCUGCAAGAAUCGCGUUGUACAGAAUGGCACACGAACUCCGCUGCAGAUUGUGGAGUGCGAGGAACAGGCCAAGGGCUGGGGCGUCAAAGCUUUGGCCAAUGUGCCCAAAGGCACCUUUGUGGCCAGCUAUACGGGCGAGAUACUCACCGCUCUAGAGGCGGAUCGCAGGACCGACGACAGCUACUACUUUGAUCUGGACAAUGGCCAUUGCAUAGAUGCCAAUUAUUAUGGCAAUGUGACGCGUUUUUUCAAUCACUCUUGCGAACCGAAUGUCCUGGCAGUGCGGGUGUUUUACGAGCACCAAGAUUAUCGUUUUCCCAAGAUUGCAUUCUUUGCAUGCCGCGACAUUGAUGCCGGCGAGGAGAUAUGCUACGAUUAUGGUGAGAAAUUCUGGCGGGCAGAGCAUCGUUCUAGCGCUGGCUGUCGCUGCCUUACGGCCUCGUGCAAGUACCCUGCCCCCUCCCAGUCGCCCAGCACAAAUGCCUCGCCCACAGAGGCAGCCACUGCUGCGGGCUCAUUGGAUUUGGAUACAGCUGCCGAUGACAACUCGAAACUCUAAAUUAUUCCAGGAUAGCAACUCCUACAUACGUACUCCCCACCAAGCUAGACAGAUAACACACAUCACACACACAAACACACACUCUCAGCAUCACCUGGAACUUUCGCCAUAUAUAGAUAGUAGGGAGUAUGCAUGAAGAAUCGAAAUUUGGAGCCCAUCUCUCCUUCGACUGCCAAAUGUUUCAACGACUUUCCAUCACGAAAGGACCAACGACACACGCAAAAGGAUGGUGAUAACGAGAGCGUGCACAGCGAUCUGCGAAGCAAUAGUUCAUCCUAGUCAUCAUUGUAAUUGUUGAUUGAUGAUCAUCGGAUCGGCAGAGGUGAAGCUGGAGGAGCAAGCAGCUGGGAUGGCGGAGCUCAAGCGGAUGGCAGUUGUCGGAUAUUGGCUCCGGGCUAGUUGAAGCCCAGCAGGCGCAAAGU